AUGCACGCCAUCCACCCGCGCACGCUCGCCACCAACCUCGCCGGCUUCGCCAGGUUCGGCUGCCUCAAGGACCUCCCCGAGAUCCUCUAUCGUUUCCUCCAUGACCCCCGCGAUGAGCGCAAGGACCAGGACGACGUCGCCGCGGCGGCCCCGGGGGCAAGAGCGGCAAGCGGCGCUGCGUCGACGGCCUUGCCGCCGCCGCGGCUGAGGCCACCAAGGCCCGGCGCGAGAAGGAGGCGGAGCACGCGCAGGCCAUGCUCGCGCUCUACGACUCUGACAAGGCCUUCCGCAACCUCUACGACGGCGUCGCCGACCUCUUCGUCUGGCUGCUCAAGUCGGACCUGGAGCACCUGCGCACGGGCGACAUGGCUAAGAUCGUGUUCGCCGCCAAGUGCGCUCGUCGUACGCAUCGGUCUCCUUUGCUCCAUGGGUGCCGCUGGCUGA
Molecule: ribosomal RNA, 444 nt
Filed under: Triticum aestivum (bread wheat)
Lineage: Eukaryota; Viridiplantae; Streptophyta; Magnoliopsida; Poales; Poaceae
Description: partial small subunit ribosomal RNA
Source: RNAcentral